This 497-nucleotide ribosomal RNA is filed under the name uncultured bacterium. RNAcentral describes it as "partial 16S ribosomal RNA". It matches the Rfam family "Bacterial small subunit ribosomal RNA", at positions 28 to 507 of the family's 1533-position model. The record is from RNAcentral.
GAUGAACGCUGGCGGCGUGCCUAAUACAUGCAAGUCGAGCGAACAGACGAGGAGCUUGCUCCUCUGACGUUAGCGGCGGACGGGUGAGUAACACGUGGAUAACCUACCUAUAAGACUGGGAUAACUUCGGGAAACCGGAGCUAAUACCGGAUAAUAUAUUGAACCGCAUGGUUCAAUAGUGAAAGACGGUUUUGCUGUCACUUAUAGAUGGAUCCGCGCCGCAUUAGCUAGUUGGUAAGGUAACGGCUUACCAAGGCAACGAUGCGUAGCCGACCUGAGAGGGUGAUCGGCCACCCUGGAACUGAGACACGUUCCAGACUCCUACGGGAGGCAGCAGUAGGGAAUCUUCCGCAAUGGGCGAAAGCCUGACGGAGCAACGCCGCGUGAGUGAUGAAGGUCUUCGGAUCGUAAAACUCUGUUAUUAGGGAAGAACAAAUGUGUAAGUAACUAUGCACGUCUUGACGGUACCUAACCAGAAAGCCACGGCUAACUACGUG